RNAcentral lists this ribosomal RNA (261 nucleotides) under Enterobacter hormaechei. RNAcentral describes it as "partial 16S ribosomal RNA". It matches the Rfam family "Bacterial small subunit ribosomal RNA", at positions 1001 to 1262 of the family's 1533-position model. Lineage: Bacteria; Pseudomonadati; Pseudomonadota; Gammaproteobacteria; Enterobacterales; Enterobacteriaceae. The record is from RNAcentral.
CAGAGAUGCUUUGGUGCCUUCGGGAACUCUGAGACAGGUGCUGCAUGGCUGUCGUCAGCUCGUGUUGUGAAAUGUUGGGUUAAGUCCCGCAACGAGCGCAACCCUUAUCCUUUGUUGCCAGCGGUUAGGCCGGGAACUCAAAGGAGACUGCCAGUGAUAAACUGGAGGAAGGUGGGGAUGACGUCAAGUCAUCAUGGCCCUUACGAGUAGGGCUACACACGUGCUACAAUGGCGCAUACAAAGAGAAGCGACCUCGCGAGA